RNAcentral lists this ribosomal RNA (405 nucleotides) under uncultured bacterium. RNAcentral describes it as "partial 16S ribosomal RNA". It matches the Rfam family "Bacterial small subunit ribosomal RNA", at positions 28 to 526 of the family's 1533-position model. The record is from RNAcentral.
GAUGAACGCUAGCUACAGGCUUAACACAUGCAAGUCGAGGACCGGCGCACGGGUGAGUAACACGUAUCCAACCUGCCCUUUACUCGGGGAUAGCCUUUCGAAAGUACGAUUAAUACCCGAUGUAAAGGAUGGGGAUGCGUUCCAUUAGGUGGUUGGUGAGGUAACGGCUCACCAAGCCUUCGUUGGAUAGGGGUUCUGAGAGGAAGGUCCCCGAGAUUGGAACGGGGACACGGUCCAAACGCGUACGGGAGGCAGCAGGGAGGAAGAUUGGUCAAGGGGCGUUAGCCUGAACCAGCCAAGUAGCGUGAAGGAUGAAGGCUUAUGGGUAGUAAAUUUCUGUUAUAUAAGAAUAUGUAUUAUAUGAAUAAGGAUCGGCUAACUCCGUGCCAGCAGCCGCGGUAAUAC